AUGGCAGCGAAAAUCCGUCAUUCGACUCUUCUUCUUCUACUACUUGUAGUAGCUUUCUUCCUACCCCUGGUCUGUUCCACGGAGUUCGUCCACCUGUACUUCAAUUACACCAUCGACCCCUACACCAAGAACUACGCAGACUUGAAGAGAAUACUGGUGAGGAACCAGCCUGAGCUGCGAGUGCUGACGAGCAGGGCGUUGGCGGUUCGACGCCUCAACUUCUAUGACCUGCCGGCUCGAGUGAUUUUAUGCCACCUCAACGGUGAUCUUCCCCAGGACAAGUGCGUCGUCGCCUUCGCAGACGACGAUAUCUCCGCCAUGGGCUUCAGGAACUCCACCGGGCACUGGCACUGCAUAGGAGGCUUCCGGUUCGCGGGCUGUACAGUUCUCCCCUUCGGGGAGAAUUACGGCGAGCUUCUAGGAGAGGGUGGCCACGUAAACCUCCCGUUGGUACCGCUCGGGAGGGAGGCGGCGAAAGAGGGAGUGCGCCUUCUGGCAAGCUACUCAUACUCCCCCGGCGGGGACCUUGGACCGGCUAAGCGAGGCAUGGCCAGGUUCAUCGUCAUGAUAGCCGAAGCAGCCCGUUUCCGGCCCGUCAGCAACAGGUUGGCGGAUCACUGGGAGGAAGAGACUUACAUGCUCGAGGUUGAGGCAAAUUUCUGUAUAAACUGGGGGAAAAUGUCGUUUUUACUUAUUGACUGGGAUAAAACAACCGGGCGUACAAGCUGGGGAAGGGGCCAUUACACAGCGGCUCAAGAGCUGGAGCGGGAAACAGGAAUUAAGAGCCAAGGAGAUGUUUUACGCGUCCUAGACCUGCUGGUGAGGCCAAGAUCAGUAGUAGUAAUACACUUCUUGGUGCGCAUGUUAAAGUCUGGAUAUCCAUUGCAUUAUGUCUCGCUCAACUGUCCGGUGAAGCUGAAGCAAUUCUUGCCAGGUCAUAGGCCACUGCUGAAGGGAUCAGGAUGGUCUCAGAGUCGUUUAAAACUGAAGGCAGCACAGAGUGCACGAAACGGCGUCACUGCAGCCCAAGUGGAUGAGUCGGCCGCCCACGUCGUAGGUGCCCCGGAUACCAGCGGAGCAACUGGAUAUACCGGAGAAUUGGGUGUCAAGCCAGAUGAUCUUAGCCUGGAGAAAUAUUUUGCUGCUAAAAGUCUUCUUUCAUCAAGACUGAUGGUGAACAUGUCCACUUCACUAAGUCAGAAGCCUCAGACUAAGAUGAUGAUGAUCAAAGCAAUGCAGAAGAAAUCGAAAUGGGGCUGCGGAGGCGACUAUGACAACAUCAUCACGGUGCUGCGGCGGCGGCGACGACGACGAUGCCGACAUCAACACCAUCAAACACGGGCUUGUGGAGGCGCCGACGCCGACGACCUAUACGCGUGCGUAUAUUGUGUGUGUGUGUAUAUAUGUGUGUAUUAA
RNAcentral lists this ribosomal RNA (1416 nucleotides) under Triticum aestivum (bread wheat). RNAcentral describes it as "partial small subunit ribosomal RNA". Lineage: Eukaryota; Viridiplantae; Streptophyta; Magnoliopsida; Poales; Poaceae. The record is from RNAcentral.